Molecule: ribosomal RNA, 384 nt
Filed under: Triticum aestivum (bread wheat)
Lineage: Eukaryota; Viridiplantae; Streptophyta; Magnoliopsida; Poales; Poaceae
Description: partial small subunit ribosomal RNA
Source: RNAcentral
AUGUUUCUCAUGAUUGGAUGUUUCUCAUCUCGGUUGCUCUUAUUGGGAAAAAUAAACUGUAGGAUGACGCGAGGAGGCAGCAGCACGCAUGCUUGUGAGGAUGUCCUUGUUCGUCAUUCAGCAAGACAGGCAGGACACUCCCCCGAGCCAUAUCUGCAACCACCGCCUCCACCGCCAAAUCCACCCUUCACUAAACAAAUUAUGCGAAUGUUUGAGGAAAGAAGGAAUAAUGAUCUGAUUGAGUUAUUAAAAAGUUGGCAAGCUAUGGUUGGACAGAAUGGAAAUCCAAAUGGGCAUCACUCCCAGCUGUCAGAUUUUCAAAGGACUAAGCCUCCCAGUUUCAGUCAAGUGGUUGACACUUUGGAAGCAGAUGAUUGGUUGUGA